Molecule: transfer RNA, 85 nt
Organism: Felis catus (domestic cat)
Lineage: Eukaryota; Metazoa; Chordata; Mammalia; Carnivora; Felidae
Rfam family: tRNA
About the family: Transfer RNA (tRNA) molecules are approximately 80 nucleotides in length. Their secondary structure includes four short double-helical elements and three loops (D, anti-codon, and T loops).
Source: Rfam
GCCUGGGUGGCUCAGUCGGUUGAGCGUCUGACUUCGGCUCAGGUCAUGAUCCCGCGGUUCGUGGGUUCGAGCCCCGCGUCGGGCU